This 1039-nucleotide ribosomal RNA is filed under the name uncultured Flavobacteriales bacterium. RNAcentral's name for it is "bacterial SSU rRNA". It matches the Rfam family "Bacterial small subunit ribosomal RNA", at positions 374 to 1416 of the family's 1533-position model. The record is from RNAcentral. Lineage: Bacteria; Pseudomonadati; Bacteroidota; Flavobacteriia; Flavobacteriales.
GGUGAGAGCCUGAUCCAGCCAUCCCGCGUGAAGGACGACAGCCCUAUGGGUUUUAAACUUCUUUUGUAUGGGGAUAAACCUAUCUACGAGUAGAUAGCUGAAGGUACCAUACGAAUAAGCAUCGGCUAACUCCGUGCCAGCAGCCGCGGUAAUACGGAGGAUGCAAGCGUUAUCCGGAUUUAUUGGGUUUAAAGGGUCCGUAGGCGGAUUUGUAAGUCAGCGGUGAAAUCCUACAGCUUAACUGUAGAACUGCCGUUGAUACUGCAAGUCUUGAAUAGUAUUGAAGUAGCCGGAAUGUGUAGUGUAGCGGUGAAAUGCAUAGAUAUUACACAGAACACCAAUUGCGAAGGCAGGUUACUAAAUACCGAUUGACGCUGAUGGACGAAAGCGUGGGGAGCGAACAGGAUUAGAUACCCUGGUAGUCCACGCCGUAAACGAUGGAUACUCGCUGUUGGGCUUUAGGGCUCAGCGGCUAAGCGAAAGUAAUAAGUAUCCCACCUGGGGAGUACGACCGCAAGGUUGAAACUCAAAGGAAUUGACGGGGGCCCGCACAAGCGGUGGAGCAUGUGGUUUAAUUCGAUGAUACGCGAGGAACCUUACCAGGGCUUAAAUGGGAAUUGACGUAAUUGGAAACAGUUAUUUCUUCGGACAAUUUUCAAGGUGCUGCAUGGUUGUCGUCAGCUCGUGCCGUGAGGUGUCAGGUUAAGUCCUAUAACGAGCGCAACCCCUGCCAUUAGUUGCCAGCGAUUCAAGUCGGGAACUCUAAUGGGACUGCCGGUGCAAACCGCGAGGAAGGUGGGGAUGACGUCAAAUCAUCACGGCCCUUACGCCCUGGGCCACACACGUGCUACAAUGGCCGGUACAGAGGGCAGCUACACAGCAAUGUGAUGCGAAUCUCUAAAGCCGGUCUCAGUUCGGAUUGGAGUCUGCAACUCGACUCUAUGAAGCUGGAAUCGCUAGUAAUCGUGAAUCAGCAAUGUCACGGUGAAUACGUUCCCGGGUCUUGUACUCACCGCCCGUCACACCAUGGGAGUUGAAC